This 61-nucleotide transfer RNA is filed under the name opilioacarid SJD-2001. RNAcentral describes it as "tRNA-Leu". The record is from RNAcentral. Lineage: Eukaryota; Metazoa; Arthropoda; Arachnida; Opilioacarida; Opilioacaridae.
AUUAUUUUGGCAGAGUAAUUGUAUCAGUUUUAGAAAUUGAAUAGGGGAUAACCAAAUAAUA